UGGGGAAUAUUGCACAAUGGGCGCAAGCCUGAUGCAGCCAUGCCGCGUGUGUGAAGAAGGCCUUCGGGUUGUAAAGCACUUUCAGCGAGGAGGAAGGUGGUGAGCUUAAUACGCUCAUCAAUUGACGUUACUCGCAGAAGAAGCACCGGCUAACUCCGUGCCAGCAGCCGCGGUAAUACGGAGGGUGCAAGCGUUAAUCGGAAUUACUGGGCGUAAAGCGCACGCAGGCGGUUUGUUAAGUCAGAUGUGAAAUCCCCCGGGCUCAACCUGGGAACUGCAUUUGAAACUGGCAAGCUAGAGUCUCGUAGAGGGGGGCUAGAAUUCCAGGUGUAGCGGUGAAAUGCGUAGAGAUCUGGAGGAAUACCGGUGGCGAAGGCGGCCCCCCUGGACGAAGACUGACGCUCAGGUGCGAAAGCGUGGGGCAGCAAACAGGAUUAGAUACCCUGGUAGUCCACGCUGUAAACGAUGUCGAUUUGGAGGUUGUGCCCUUGAGGCGUGGCUUCCGGAGCUAACGCGUUAAAGUCGACCGCCCUGGGGGAG
RNAcentral lists this ribosomal RNA (540 nucleotides) under uncultured bacterium. Its description in RNAcentral is "partial 16S ribosomal RNA". It matches the Rfam family "Bacterial small subunit ribosomal RNA", at positions 355 to 873 of the family's 1533-position model. The record is from RNAcentral.